Molecule: ribosomal RNA, 492 nt
Filed under: uncultured bacterium
Lineage: Bacteria
Description: partial 16S ribosomal RNA
Rfam family: Bacterial small subunit ribosomal RNA
Source: RNAcentral
AGUGAACGCUGGCGGUAGGCCUAACACAUGCAAGUCGAACGGCAGCACAGUAAGAGCUUGCUCUUACGGGUGGCGAGUGGCGGACGGGUGAGGAAUACAUCGGAAUCUACUUUUUCGUGGGGGAUAACGUAGGGAAACUUACGCUAAUACCGCAUACGACCUACGGGUGAAAGCAGGGGAUCUUCGGACCUUGCGCGAUUGAAUGAGCCGAUGUCGGAGUAGCUAGUUGGCGGGGUAAAGGCCCACCAAGGCGACGAUCCGUAGCUGGUCUGAGAGGAUGAUCAGCCACACUGGAACUGAGCCACGGUCCAGAGUCCUACGGGAGGCAGCAGUGGGGAAUGUGGGACAAAGGGCGCAAGCCUGAUCCAGCCAGACCGCGUGGGUGAAGAAGGCCUUCGGGUCGUAAAGCCCUUUUGUUGGGAAAGAAAAGCAGCAGGUUAAUACCCCGCUGUUCUGACGGUACCCAAAGAAUAAGCACCGGCUAACUUCGUG